AGGGUUUGAUCAUGGCUCAGGAUGAACGCUAGCGGCAGGCUUAACACAUGCAAGUCGAGGGGUAUAGUAGCAAUACUAGAGACCGGCGCACGGGUGCGUAACGCGUAUGCAAUCUACCUUUUACAGAGGGAUAGCCCAGAGAAAUUUGGAUUAAUACCUCAUAGUGUUAUAGAAUGGCAUCAUUUUAUAACUAAAGUUCCAACGGUAAAAGAUGAGCAUGCGUCCUAUUAGCUAGAUGGUAAGGUAACGGCUUACCAUGGCUACGAUAGGUAGGGGUCCUGAGAGGGAGAUCCCCCACACUGGUACUGAGACACGGACCAGACUCCUACGGGAGGCAGCAGUGAGGAAUAUUGGACAAUGGGCGCAAGCCUGAUCCAGCCAUGCCGCGUGCAGGAAGAAGCAUCUAUGGUGUGUAAACUGCUUUUGUACAGGAAGAAACAUCCCGACGUGUCGGGACUUGACGGUACUGUAAGAAUAAGGAUCGGCUAACUCCGUGCCAGCCGCCGCGGUAAUAC
This 515-nucleotide ribosomal RNA is filed under the name uncultured bacterium. RNAcentral's name for it is "bacterial SSU rRNA". It matches the Rfam family "Bacterial small subunit ribosomal RNA", at positions 8 to 526 of the family's 1533-position model. The record is from RNAcentral.